CACACCGCCCGUCACACCAUGGGAGUGGGUUCCACCAGAAGUAGUUAGCCUAACCGCAAGGAGGGCGACUGCCACGGUGAGAUUCAUGACUGGGGUG
This 97-nucleotide ribosomal RNA is filed under the name uncultured bacterium. Its description in RNAcentral is "partial 16S ribosomal RNA". It matches the Rfam family "Bacterial small subunit ribosomal RNA", at positions 1386 to 1482 of the family's 1533-position model. The record is from RNAcentral.